GCCUACUCUUGGAGAUACGUGCCCGGACAGUCAGGGGUACAGGGACCUAACGGUCUCACCAUAUUAUACCAUAUCUUGUAUAUGGCAUACAGACCAGGAGCUCCUACACAAAAUUUGACAGGUCGGGCAUGGAACAGGAUCGUACAAAUGAGUAAUCGCUUUAUUUCACUCUCUCACUACAGCACGUGAGGACUCUUCUUUGUUAUGAGUCCCACUUACCAUUCGAUCCAGAUCACUUAUCACUCUUCAACGAUAUACCUGGAUGGUAAUCUCAAC
Pelobates cultripes (western spadefoot toad) is the source of this 276-nucleotide non-coding RNA. Lineage: Eukaryota; Metazoa; Chordata; Amphibia; Anura; Pelobatidae. The record is from the annotation of a GenBank genome assembly.